UAAGCGGAGGAAAAGAAACCAACAGGGAUUGCCUUAGUAGCGGCGAGUGAAGCGGCAAAAGCUCAAAUUUGAAAUCUGGCACUUUCAGUGUCCGAGUUGUAAUUUGAAGAAGGUAUCUUUGGGUCUGGCUCUUGUCUAUGUUUCUUGGAACAGAACGUCACAGAGGGUGAGAAUCCCGUGCGAUGAGAUGUCCCAGACCUAUGUAAAGUUCCUUCGAAGAGCUUCGAGUUGUUUGGGAAUGCAGCUCUAAGUGGGUGGUAAAUUCCAUCUAAAGCUAAAUAUUGGCGAGAGACCGAUAGCGAACAAGUACAGUGAUGGAAAGAUGAAAAGAACUUUGAAAAGAGAGUGAAAAAGUACGUGAAAUUGUUGAAAGGGAAGGGCUUGAGAUCAGACUUGGUAUUUUGUAUGUUACUCUCUCGGGGGUGGCCUCUACAGUUUACCGGGCCAGCAUCAGUUUGAGCGGUAGGAUAAGUGCAAAGAAAUGUGGCACUGCUUCGGUAGUGUGUUAUAGUCUUUGUCGAUACUGCCAGCUUAGACUGAGGACUGCGGCUUCGGCCU
RNAcentral lists this ribosomal RNA (558 nucleotides) under Lodderomyces parapsilosis. RNAcentral's name for it is "LSU rRNA". It matches the Rfam family "Eukaryotic large subunit ribosomal RNA", at positions 47 to 608 of the family's 3401-position model. Lineage: Eukaryota; Fungi; Ascomycota; Pichiomycetes; Serinales; Debaryomycetaceae. The record is from RNAcentral.